This 372-nucleotide ribosomal RNA is filed under the name uncultured organism. RNAcentral describes it as "partial 16S ribosomal RNA". It matches the Rfam family "Bacterial small subunit ribosomal RNA", at positions 527 to 896 of the family's 1533-position model. The record is from RNAcentral.
GUAGGUGGCAAGCGUUGUCCGGAAUUAUUGGGCGUAAAGCGCGCGCAGGCGGUUCUUUAAGUCUGAUGUGAAAGCCCACGGCUCAACCGUGGAGGGUCAUUGGAAACUGGAGAACUUGAGUACAGAAGAGGAAAGCGGAAUUCCACGUGUAGCGGUGAAAUGCGUAGAGAUGUGGAGGAACACCAGUGGCGAAGGCGGCUUUCUGGUCUGUAACUGACGCUGAGGCGCGAAAGCGUGGGGGCAAACAGGGAUUAGAUACCCUGGUAGUCCACGCCGUAAACGAUGAGUGCUAAGUGUUAGGGGGUUUCCCGCCCCUUAGUGCUGCAGCUAACGCAUUAAGCACUCCGCCUGGGGAGUACGGCCGCAAGGCUG